Molecule: long non-coding RNA, 1130 nt
Organism: Numida meleagris (helmeted guineafowl)
Lineage: Eukaryota; Metazoa; Chordata; Aves; Galliformes; Numididae
Exons: 2
Source: RefSeq, a predicted model, not a curated record
GUCCCGGUGGGAGUGGGGAUCCCGGGGUGAAGGAGGGUCCCGUUGCGCUGCCCCCGCCCGUCCCGGUCCCUUCGAAAGCAGCGCUGUCCCCGUGCACCCGCUGCUCCCCGCUCCCCCGCGUUCCCUCGGUCUCCCGAUCCUCGGAAGAUUCAUAUUCUCACUUCGGAUCGUAUCUCCAAAAUAACUCUGUUUCUAUCUUUUGACAUUUGAGGAGUUUGGGUUUGGGGUAUGUGGGGAGCUCGCUAUUAAAAUACCAAAUGUUAUGUAUUCUGGGGCAAAACUGGAGCAAUCAUUGCAGGGGGAUUUGUUCCCAGUGGAGCUGUGCUGCUGGGCAAGCGGAGCCGCCGUCCUCAGCCCUUCCCGGACCGGGUGGUUUGACGAGAUUAUCCAGCUGAAAUUAACAAAAUCUGGCCUCCAGCGAGCCAGAAUGAGUCACCAGCAAACGCUGCUCCGUGUGUGCGAGCCCUCCGAAAGCCCUCACUGCCUCACUUCAAACUUACAGCGCAACUUUGACAACCACUCCAUCACAACUGGCUGAUGCUGCCGCAAUCGUAAUCCCCUCUGAGCCUCUGCCCGCUGCUGAUCUCUCCCAGAAACCACUAUUAAAUCUUCCCCGGUUUGCAAGGCUAAUUCUGAACAACGGCACGAGGAGAAAAGCCGGCAGCUGGGCCGGCGUCUCGGUGCUAUUUGCACGCUCCGCGGGAAGAUCGUUUUGAUUAUAAUGAGGCUCAUUAAAAAGAACCCAACCAAAUAAAGAAAGCAAGCAAGCCUUCCCAUCAAUCUGCACCCAGCUGAAGCACCGCGGUCCUUCCUGAAGCGGUGGUGGCUGCGCCGUCGUGGCCCUCCUUGCUAUUGAACGUCUCCGUGCUUUCUCAGGUGGCUGUGGGUGCAGCCAGGCGCUGGGGAGAUGUGUUCCUCAAACGAAGCUGCAAAGAUGCUUGGGUAGGACACGGAGAGCUAACGAGGAACCGCAUCAUCCUUCGGAAUCGCCGCCGGAUAAUUGGCCUCGUUUACUAUUUUAAGACUGAACUCCUUCCUCCAGACGGUUGCGAUGGAGGAAUAUUCAGGAGUAGAUGAUGUCCCCAAACAUAUCAUUAAAGCUUUAAAUAAACGUGCAAUGACAUCCCGUG